This 1182-nucleotide ribosomal RNA is filed under the name Triticum aestivum (bread wheat). Its description in RNAcentral is "partial small subunit ribosomal RNA". Lineage: Eukaryota; Viridiplantae; Streptophyta; Magnoliopsida; Poales; Poaceae. The record is from RNAcentral.
AUGUGUGUCCCAAAGGAAAAGGAUGGAAUGGGUUUUAGAGACUUGCAUUGUUUUAAUUUGGCUCUUCUCGCAAAGCAGUGUUGGAGGUUGUUAUGUGAACCAAAUUCUUUAUGUGCUAGAGUUUUGAGAGCCAAAUAUUUUCCUGAUGGAGACCUUCUUAACUGCGGCCUUAAGAAGGGUAGUUCUUAUACAUGGCAGAGCUGGAGUGGAAUUCAGUCUUUUAAACGAGGGCAUAUUUGGAGAGUUGGAGAUGGGGCACAAAUUAACAUCUGGGAAGACCCUUGGAUACCAAGUAGUCCUACUCGAAAGUUAAUGACACCAAGAGGUAACGUCGUGAUCACAAAAGUUUAUGAACUCAUUGAUACAGAAAAUAGAGUGUGGGAUGAACAGUUGAUAUCGGAGUUGUUUUGGCCUAUUGAUGUGCAACACAUAUUAAAUAUCCCACUGGCUUUGGGGAUGAUGGGUGAUUUUGUGUCAUGGCACCAUAACAGAAGUGGAAUAUUUUCGGUUAGAUCGGCAUACCAUGAAGAGUGGGAGCAUCAACACGGACAAAAGUUGAGGAUGACUAACUCUAUACAAGCCUCAAGUACUAGUCCAGUUUGGCGUACCAUUUGGAAAUUGCGUGUGCCGGUUAAAAUAAAAAUUCAUGUAUGAAAAACUUUGCUUGGUGCCAUCCCUUUUAAUGGAGUCCUUGCUAACAGGCAUAUGAUCACAAGCUCUCAAUGUCCUCUCUGCACUUUGGAUUGUGAGAGCAUUAGACAUGCCAUGUUCUUGUGCCCUAGAGUUCAAGAAAUCUGGAGGAUAUUGGGACUGCAAGAUGUGGUUCAGGAGAUGUGUGCGCUGGAAAGGGAUGGCGGAUCGGUGCUGGCUGAUCUUCUUCUAUCAACGAACAAUAACAUGGCUCAUAUGAAUGAUGUUCAACGCGAUGACCUUGUGGCCACUAGAGUGUGGUACGUUUGGUGGGAAAGACGCUGCUACACUCAUGGUGAAUAUGUGUAUGAACCAAGCAGGUCAGCGCAAGCAAUUUUAGCUCUUGCUAAGAAUUUUUCCAAGGCAAAGUCGAAGCAAGCGAAACUGAGAAGAUAUGGAUGGAGUAAGCCACCGGAGGAAGUUAUCAAACUUAAUGUCGAUGCCACUUUUGAUCCUGAUAGGGGAACAGGGGGUACGGGUGCAAUAUUAUGA